GACAGCAGCUGGGGCUCUGUGAGAGACUGUUAGAUCUGUAAGGGAGUGUGCUGGCCAUAAUCUCUGUGCUGUGGGAUAGGACAGUAUAUGGAAGGAAUGUGUCUGCACUUACAUCCAUCCCUGUUAGAAGAGAGAGAGAAGUGAUAGAAGCAUGGAGCACACAGCAGAGGCUGUUUCUGCAAUCCUUCUAGCCCUGCAAAAACCAAGCAGAACUGGGAUCCUUGUGGGAAAGCUCAUCCUUAAGAAGCUGAAUUAACAAUACAUAUUCUCAACUGUGGGCCUUUAACUUAAUCUUAAAACCACCAGGAAGGUUUCAUCACAUCUUUGAUAACACAUUAACAGUGAAUGCAUCAAAAAUCCUAUUACAUCCUUCUUAGGUUUGUACUGUGUGAAGAAUGUGUUUUUGUCUCUAAUGUGUGAAUUUAUAUUCUCAGAUGGUCUGCACACAGUCAAGCAGAUGACACGAAUUCUCUGGCCCAGAGUGAUCAGACACUUAGAAGCUUUGAGGAGACAGUGUAGCCUGAAACCAUCCCUCUUGGUGAUGUAUCAGUGCUGUGUACUGUGUCAAUCCCAUGCAUUAGCCACUAGUGCUGGGGCAGAUAGCAACAGUUGUCUGGAGACUGUCUACAGCUGCAGCCUCAGUAACCCACAACUCAUUUAUGAGUCAUCUCUCCAGAGCUAUAGCCAGGAUCAUUUAAGACCCCUGAAGCCUUAGAAGAUGAAGAAUUAUGUAGAUUCAAUGAUUAUGAAUAGCCACAUAAGUCUACUUUACCACUUGUCCUUCCACAGGAUCAUAAAAUCUCUCCAAGAGCUGAAUGGAUGUGCUUUUGCCACAGCCACUGCUUCCUACUAAUGCCAGAGUCUGUCCUUUGUUAACCUUCACAUUAAGUCCUUGCAAAACUUGAACUUCUGGUCUUGUUGGAUAUACAAAAUUGAUGUUUCUGAAUUCAAUGUUGCCUUCAAAAUUACUCUGAAAAGUAACAGAAUGUUUGUAUGAUUAUAUUAUCAUUUAUCAGCUUUAAAUAAACAGUCAAGACUUAAAAGUGUUGAAUGAGAAAACUGACACAGAAGUAUGGGACAGUGAUUUUGAAAUAGUUUUUGUUGUUCUUUGCAAUCACAUAUUAGAAUCAAGUUUAGUAUUGUCAUUUAUAGGAUGAUCUCUAGUUGCAAAUCACUAGAUCCUUUUGGAAUAACAGUUCUACGCAUUUCUCUCCUGUAUUUAUAUUUACUUCAGCUUUCAAAAGGAGUAUCUUUACACAAACAAUGUUAGUAUUUUUCAUUUGCUACACAUCUAAUUGAGGCACUUUUCCUGGUAUGAUCUAUCACAUUUACUCUCCUGAUCUCACAUUGCAGGUAGCAUGACUUGAAUGAAUACAUCACAAGGUUAAGAUCAGAUAUUAAAGAGAGGUAAAUUCUUCAGUAGGUAAUUUACAGGCACGUAUGACAAGCGGGUGUUUUGAAAAGCAACAGCGAUCAUUAAUCAGCCAUUCUAGACAGGCAGAUCUCUAAGACCAAAUGAAAGAAUGGGGCAGGCAUUCAGACCUUGCCUAGUUGCCUGCUUCCUCUUGGUAGGAGCAAGUCCCACAUAAAAACUAGCAACAUUCUAGGAAUGCUAGCACAACAGCUGAUUUAAGGGGUUUGCUCAAGACACGUGCACUAGUUUUUGAGUCCAGUCUAGACUAUACAUAUUUCUAUCCAAGUUUUAUUUUGCCAUAGAUUUUCUACCAAAUUUUUCGAAGCCUAUGCCUGAGAGCUCUGUUUCAAAGAGAUACACAAAGAACGUAAUUAAAAAGUUUGAAAAUCCUGUGUAAGAUCUUAAAGUUACUGAAAGUGGAUUACAGUUUCCUGUGCAGGGGCUACUGUCUAACACCUACAAGUGAGAUAAUUUUCAUUUGUAUGUGUAAACGUAAUCCUUCCACAUCAAGUCUCUGCACAAAGUUUAUUUGCCAAGAUCAGAUUCCUUAAUGACAAUGUUGAUUUAAAGACAAGACAUUUUAAACCUCUAGAGUAAAUCAUAUUAUUCAUUAAGUUAGUUUUGACUUCCCAAGAACACAUUUUCUUAUAAGAGAAACAGUUGUAAGGGGAUGGAUUUUGGCAAAAUUGUUCUUUCUCUGACAGGGCUACUCUCCUGUUUAUCUGCAAAAACAGUAGUAAACUGCACUUGUGUUUUAUUUCUCCCGUAAACCUUUACACAAAGGCAAUGAAUUGUGAACUGACAUUAUCAAUGUUUUCCUGAAACCAUUUAAAAUGUAGGGCAGUUGAAUGAAAAAUCAUUUCAGAUUUAUUGAGAGCAAAACCACAUUUAAGGUGACAGAUAGAAGGCCCAUUAAAAAAAAAAAAAAACUAGCCAGGCAGUAACACUAUUUUAUACAGCGUCUGUCUUUAGUGAUGCUCUACAAAACAUGAGGCAGUGCAAAUACAGUUGUAGACAACAAAGCAUUACUAAUAAUGUCAUUCAGGGUUUUUCUGAAAAAAACUCACCAAUUUUUCACCUUCUUCACUGUAACUGUCAAUUUGAGGUUUUCUAUCCAAAAGUUGAAAGAUUCUUUGAGCUGAAACUUUAGCUUUGCCAUAAUCUGGUGCCAGAGAAGCAGACUGACCAACAUUCAUAGCUGCAAAUAUGACAGAAGAGAAGACUCUAAAAACAAAAGAUAAAGAAUCACUUGUUUCUGGUGGAAUGUGCUGUUUUCUUCACAUAUAAAAUAAACCUUCAAAAAUAA
This is a long non-coding RNA of Tympanuchus pallidicinctus (lesser prairie-chicken), 2720 nucleotides long. RefSeq lists it as uncharacterized. Lineage: Eukaryota; Metazoa; Chordata; Aves; Galliformes; Phasianidae. The record is from RefSeq and is a predicted model, not a curated record. The transcript is spliced from 2 exons.